CAGAGGGUGCAAACGUUGUUCGGAAUUACUGGGCGUAAAGCGCGUGUAGGCGGCUAUGCAAGUCGGGCGUGAAAUCCCACGGCUCAACCGUGGAAGUGCACUCGAAACUGCGUAGCUAGAGUCUCGGAGAGGAAGGUGGAAUACUUGGUGUAGAGGUGAAAUUCGUAGAUAUCAAGUGGAACACCGGUGGCGAAGGCGGCCUUCUGGACGAUGACUGACGCUGAGACGCGAAAGCGUGGGGAGCAAACAGGAUUAGAUACCCUGGUAGUCCACGCCGUAAACGAUGAGUGCUAGGUGUCACGGGCUUUGACCCUCGUGGUGCCGAAGCUAACGCGUUAAGCACUCCGCCUGGGGAGUACGGCCGCAAGGCUA
RNAcentral lists this ribosomal RNA (372 nucleotides) under uncultured organism. RNAcentral describes it as "bacterial SSU rRNA". It matches the Rfam family "Bacterial small subunit ribosomal RNA", at positions 526 to 896 of the family's 1533-position model. The record is from RNAcentral.